GGGACAAUGGCGCAUCUGGGAGCGCGUCAGACUGAAGAUCUGGAGGUGGCCGGUUCAAGCCCGGCUUGUCCCA
Aspergillus tubingensis CBS 134.48 is the source of this 73-nucleotide transfer RNA. It matches the Rfam family "tRNA". Rfam says of the family: Transfer RNA (tRNA) molecules are approximately 80 nucleotides in length. Their secondary structure includes four short double-helical elements and three loops (D, anti-codon, and T loops). Further hydrogen bonds mediate the characteristic L-shaped molecular structure. tRNAs have two regions of fundamental functional importance: the anti-codon, which is responsible for specific mRNA codon recognition, and the 3' end, to which the tRNAs corresponding amino acid is attached (by aminoacyl-tRNA synthetases). tRNAs cope with the degeneracy of the genetic code in two manners: having more than one tRNA (with a specific anti-codon) for a particular amino acid; and 'wobble' base-pairing, i.e. permitting non-standard base-pairing at the 3rd anti-codon position. The record is from Rfam. NCBI's taxonomy places the organism in Eukaryota, Fungi, Ascomycota, Eurotiomycetes, Eurotiales, Aspergillaceae.